RNAcentral lists this transfer RNA (72 nucleotides) under Thecamonas trahens. RNAcentral's name for it is "tRNA-Trp". It matches the Rfam family "tRNA". Rfam says of the family: Transfer RNA (tRNA) molecules are approximately 80 nucleotides in length. Their secondary structure includes four short double-helical elements and three loops (D, anti-codon, and T loops). The record is from RNAcentral. Lineage: Eukaryota; Apusomonadida; Apusomonadidae.
AGAGGAAUAGUUUAAUUGGUAAAACAGUGGUCUCCAAAAUCAUCGUUAUGGGUUCGAGUCCCAUUUCUUCUG